CUAGUCCUGAGGUGUUUGCGAGUCUCGAGUCCUUGAGCCGAUAAUGUAAACCCCGGAGGCUUUUUGUACAAGUUGGUGUGCAUGUCCGCGCUGCGGAAAGCCUAAUAUUUGUCAAAAGCCACCACCUUGAACCUUACGGUUCAAGGCCCAGUUGACCGCGGCAUACUUGGGACACUU
Molecule: non-coding RNA, 177 nt
Filed under: gamma proteobacterium IMCC1989
Lineage: Bacteria; Pseudomonadati; Pseudomonadota; Gammaproteobacteria; Alteromonadales
Description: 6S / SsrS RNA
Rfam family: 6S / SsrS RNA
About the family: E. coli 6S RNA was the first non coding RNA to be sequenced, but its function was unknown until recently.
Source: Rfam by way of RNAcentral